UCUAAAAUGGCAGAUUAGUGCAUUGGAUUUAAACCCCAAAUAUAAUAAAAUUAUUUUUUAGAA
RNAcentral lists this transfer RNA (63 nucleotides) under Platypodinae sp. BMNH 1274714. Its description in RNAcentral is "tRNA-Leu". Lineage: Eukaryota; Metazoa; Arthropoda; Insecta; Coleoptera; Curculionidae. The record is from RNAcentral.